UACGAAGGGUGCAAGCGUUGUUCGGAAUUAUUGGGCGUAAAGGGUUCGUAGGCUGGAAGUUAAGUCAAUUGUGAAAUCCCCGAGCUUAACUUGGGACGUGCAGUUGAAACUGAUUUUCUUGAGUAUCGGAGAGGGUAGUGGAAUUGCUGGUGUAGGAGUGACAUCCGUAGAGAUCAGCAGGAACACCAGAGGCGAAAGCGACUGCCUGGCCGAUUACUGACGCUGAGGAACGAAAGCGUGGGGAGCAAACAGG
This 253-nucleotide ribosomal RNA is filed under the name uncultured bacterium. RNAcentral's name for it is "partial 16S ribosomal RNA". It matches the Rfam family "Bacterial small subunit ribosomal RNA", at positions 524 to 776 of the family's 1533-position model. The record is from RNAcentral.